AACGCAUAUUGCGCUCUCUGGUAUUCCGGAGAGCAUGCUUGUUUGAGUAUCAGUAAACACCUCAACUUCCAUAUCUUUUUUUGAAAUGGGAGUUGGACUUGAGUGAUCCCAACGCUUUUCCUCACCGAAAAGUGGCGGGUUACUUGAAAUGCAGGUGCAGCUGGACUUUUCUCUGAGCUAUAAGCAUAUCUAUUUAGUCUGCCUAAAAAACAGAUUAUUACCUUUGCUGCAGCUAACAUAAAGGAGAUUAGUUCUUGUGCUGACUGAUGCAGGAUUCACAAAGACAGCUUCGGCCGACUUUGUAAACUCGAUCUCAAAUCAAGUAAGACUACCCGCUGAACUUAA
This 345-nucleotide unclassified non-coding RNA is filed under the name uncultured Mortierella. RNAcentral's name for it is "sequence contains ITS2". The stretch from base 1 to 52 matches the Rfam family "5.8S ribosomal RNA", at positions 103 to 154 of the family's 154-position model. Lineage: Eukaryota; Fungi; Mortierellomycota; Mortierellomycetes; Mortierellales; Mortierellaceae. The record is from RNAcentral.